CGUACAAACUGGUCGACUAAGAUCGCCACGUCCUGUGGCGACGUCGACACUAGUACAUCCUAUACG
Molecule: small RNA, 66 nt
Rfam family: Bacillaceae-1 RNA
Source: Rfam